Molecule: ribosomal RNA, 289 nt
Filed under: uncultured Bacteroides sp.
Lineage: Bacteria; Pseudomonadati; Bacteroidota; Bacteroidia; Bacteroidales; Bacteroidaceae
Description: partial 16S ribosomal RNA
Rfam family: Bacterial small subunit ribosomal RNA
Source: RNAcentral
CAAGUCGAGGGGCAGCAUGAACUUAGCUUGCUAAGUUUGAUGGCGACCGGCGCACGGGUGAGUAACACGUAUCCAACCUGCCGAUGACUCGGGGAUAGCCUUUCGAAAGAAAGAUUAAUACCCGAUGGCAUAGUUCUUCCGCAUGGUGGAACUAUUAAAGGUAUUCCGGUAGACGAUGGGGAUGCGUUCCAUUAGGUUGUUGGCGGGGUAACGGCCCACCAAACCUACGAUGGAUAGGGGUUCUGAGAGGAAGGUCCCCACAUUGGAACUGAGACACGGUCCAAACUCC